UAGGAAUGGUAUAAGCUUACAAUGAGUAC
RNAcentral lists this non-coding RNA (29 nucleotides) under Mus musculus (house mouse). Lineage: Eukaryota; Metazoa; Chordata; Mammalia; Rodentia; Muridae. The record is from RNAcentral.